GUUUUACCUGAUAUAAUAAAUACCUAUAUAUACGAGUGGGAGCCAUUAAUAAGUAAACACGUGGAGGUCCAUGCCAAGUGGGAUUGUCUCAUUCAAGUAGGAUAUGUCUUAUUGAGGACUAAUGAUGAUUCUGACACUCUUGAAACAACGGUGAUGAAUAGUCUAUUAAUCAGGGAAUGUUAGGAACUUAGGGUAAGUGGGACAUGAAGUCGACCCGUUGAAACUUAGUAGAUAAUUUAAAAUAUGAGUCGGACGAGUGCUUGAGUCAUCUCAGGGUGUCUACGCCCUUUAUAUAGGAGUUAUUAGGUUGUGUAUUCUGAUUACUCGAAAUCACAUGCUAUACCUUUCUGAGUAUCUAAACGGUAUAGUGAGGUAUGACCUCUUUGAGGGCACAUGGCAUGGGUCUAAGUAGUCGGAUAAUGUAUACUGUAUUGCUACCUUUAUGUUAUUGUAUAAUAUGACUCCCUUUUGUUGAGGAUACGUUGUAUACAUCUAAGCAGUCGGAUAAU
RNAcentral lists this unclassified non-coding RNA (509 nucleotides) under Hevea brasiliensis (rubber tree). Lineage: Eukaryota; Viridiplantae; Streptophyta; Magnoliopsida; Malpighiales; Euphorbiaceae. The record is from RNAcentral.